Molecule: ribosomal RNA, 433 nt
Filed under: uncultured bacterium
Lineage: Bacteria
Description: partial 16S ribosomal RNA
Rfam family: Bacterial small subunit ribosomal RNA
Source: RNAcentral
AACGAACGCUGGCGGCAUGCCUAACACAUGCAAGUCGAACGAGACCUUCGGGUCUAGUGGCGCACGGGUGCGUAACGCGUGGGAACCUGCCCUUAGGUUCGGCAUAACUCCCCGAAUGGGGUGAUAAUACCGGAUAAUGUCUUCGGACCAAAGAUUUAUCGCCUUUGGAUGGGCCCGCGUUGGAUUAGCUUGUUGGUAGGGUAAAAGCCUACCAAGGCGACGAUCCAUAGCUGGUCUGAGAGGAUGAUCAGCCACACUGGGACUGAGACACGGCCCAGACUCCUACGGGAGGCAGCAGUGGGGAAUAUUGGACAAUGGGCGAAAGCCUGAUCCAGCAAUGCCGCGUGAGUGAUGAAGGCCGUAGAGUUGUAAAGCUCUUUUACCCGGGAUGAUAAUGACAGUACCGGGAGAAUAAGCUCCGGCUAACUCCGUG